UUUUUUCAAUGCCAUUUACAAAAAUGUUCAAGUUUACAUACAACAUUUUGGAAGCUUGCAUUUCAACCAAAUUUUCAAAGUCUGUUCGUGAGAUUUUUAUUUUUUGAAAAAUUAGUAAUUUACAACAUUUUGGAAGCCCAGCGACGAGAUGUAUUGUGGACCUAUCAUUUAAUUCAUGGAUAUAUAUUGAAACACAGAAACCGAAAAAGAACAUUUAUCUGUUACCUUCUUUCUAACAACAAUUGACUGAAAACGGAAGAAGACGUCGAUUUUUAAGCCAGGACUUAUUGCUGCAUUGUGGAUGAUAAUCAAACCAGUUUUUUGCCAGAAGUGACUAAAACAUUUGUGAAAGUCGAGAAAAGGCAUCAAUCAUCGAGUCUAGACUUAUUUUUACAUUGUGGAUAAUAGUCAAACAAGGUCCACUUUGCAGUACAAAAGUUCUGAAUUUUCCUAUUAGAAUCGAAACAAUUUGGAAUAUGACAGCACACACCAGACAUAGCAGGUCAGUUACAGAAAUCAAUAUCAUCUCAAUAUCGCAAGUAGAAAAGAGGUCGCUUUAGAGAUUCAUAAGUAGAAGUUUUGAGAAUACAAGAUUAAAAAGAUAUUCUGCGGUAUCUCGUUUUGAAUGACGAGUUGAUUGUUUCGAAACAG
Molecule: long non-coding RNA, 651 nt
Organism: Mytilus californianus (California mussel)
Lineage: Eukaryota; Metazoa; Mollusca; Bivalvia; Mytilida; Mytilidae
Exons: 5
Source: RefSeq, a predicted model, not a curated record